ACUUAUUUAAUAUAGAUAGUAUAUUUAGUUUCCACCUAAAAAGACCUAAGGGAAUAAGUA
This 60-nucleotide transfer RNA is filed under the name Fulicoffula longipila. RNAcentral describes it as "tRNA-Gly". Lineage: Eukaryota; Metazoa; Arthropoda; Insecta; Psocodea; Philopteridae. The record is from RNAcentral.